GUGAGUACGGCGAAGUUGGAGAGUCGCAAUGGUCUGUAAAACCAUCGCCUUAUGGUUUAGCAGGUUCGAUCCCUGCUACUCACACCA
Molecule: transfer RNA, 87 nt
Filed under: Chitinophaga silvatica
Lineage: Bacteria; Pseudomonadati; Bacteroidota; Chitinophagia; Chitinophagales; Chitinophagaceae
Description: Chitinophaga sp. GDMCC 1.1288 tRNA-Tyr
Rfam family: tRNA
About the family: Transfer RNA (tRNA) molecules are approximately 80 nucleotides in length. Their secondary structure includes four short double-helical elements and three loops (D, anti-codon, and T loops).
Source: RNAcentral